This 250-nucleotide ribosomal RNA is filed under the name uncultured prokaryote. RNAcentral's name for it is "partial 16S ribosomal RNA". It matches the Rfam family "Bacterial small subunit ribosomal RNA", at positions 524 to 773 of the family's 1533-position model. The record is from RNAcentral.
UACAUAGGGAGCGAGCGUUAUCCGGAAUUAUUGGGCGUAAAGGGUGCGUAGACGGGGAAGCAAGUUAGCUGUGAAAUCCCUCGGCUUAACUGAGGAACCGCAACUAAAACUAUUUUUCUUGAGUGCAGGAGAGGUAAGUGGAAUUCCUAGUGUAGCGGUGAAAUGCGUAGAUAUUAGGAGGAACACCAGUGGCGAAGGCGACUUACUGGACUGUAACUGACGUUGAGGCACGAAAGUGUGGGGAGCAAAC